AGGUACUCUGAGAAUAAGCACCGGCUAACUCCGUGCCAGCAGCCGCGGUAAUACGGAGGGUGCAAGCGUUAUCCGGAUUUACUGGGUUUAAAGGGUGCGUAGGCGGAUGAUUAAGUUAGAUGUGAAAGCUUGCAGCUUAACUGUAAGAUUGCGUUUGAUACUGGUCGUCUUGAAUUUGGUAGAAGUGGGCGGAAUAAAUCAUGUAGCGGUGAAAUGCAUAGAUAUGAUUUAGAACACCGAUUGCGAAGGCAGCUCGCUAUGUCAACAUUGACGCUGAGGCACGAAAGCGUGGGGAUCAAACAGGAUUAGAUACCCUGGUAGUCCACGCCCUAAACGAUGAAUACUCGAUAUUGGCGAUAUACAGUCAGUGUCUAAGGGAAACCGUUAAGUAUUCCACCU
This 399-nucleotide ribosomal RNA is filed under the name uncultured bacterium. Its description in RNAcentral is "bacterial SSU rRNA". It matches the Rfam family "Bacterial small subunit ribosomal RNA", at positions 473 to 874 of the family's 1533-position model. The record is from RNAcentral.